Grammomys surdaster is the source of this 319-nucleotide long non-coding RNA. RefSeq lists it as uncharacterized. Lineage: Eukaryota; Metazoa; Chordata; Mammalia; Rodentia; Muridae. The transcript has 3 exons. The record is from RefSeq and is a predicted model, not a curated record.
GCUUCUCGUCUCCUUCUGCCCAAUGGUAAGACCAUGUACCCAAGAGUAUAAACACCAUAGGCCUGGAUCUUCCAAGAACAGAGCUCCCUGCCGACCUCUAAAUUGAUCGUAAUGCUAUUUGUUGCUGAGGUUACCAUAUACCCGAGUCACAGAACAGGAAGAAAUCAAGUGGAUACUGACCUAGAAGCUUCAUCCAUCCUUGAUAACUUUCAUAAUGUUGAAAGCAGACCACCCAAGAGAAGAACAGUCUCAACCACCUUCAAGAUUUGUAAUCACUGUAGAAAGAGGUACCAACAUGCAUGCCACUUUUACUGAGUUU